GAAUAUUUGAAGAGUGAAAAUUAUAGGUUAGCAAGUGUCGGCUGUCACCCUUUACGAUUCAGUAUUGGCGUGUACUCGGCACAAACGGAGCAGCAGCAGAUUUUCACGGCGCAAGCGAGCAGCGAGCUGAAGAAAAAAAAACAAAAAAAAAAACUAUACUUCUAUAUCGAACGGUCGAUCUGCGCUGUGCCUGUGAAUAAUCAGCUAGAAACAAGUUUUAAAUAAACUAAAAAAAAAAACAACAAUUGUGCAAUUCUACUGCAGUGCGGUGGCAAAAAAAAACUGUUGUUUGACAAAAUCUGAUUUCGUGGUGCGGUGGUGAAGCGAUAGAUGAAAAAAAGGUGUGGAAAUAAUUUUUUAUAGGAAUUUCCGUGAUGCGCUGAAAAAGUGUGUUACCGAGUUAUAUGUAUAUACAUACAUACAUAUUUAUGCGUGCAUGUGUUUUUAUAAAAAUUUGCAUUAAAAUUUAUCUGCUUUGUGGUGAAAAAGCAGCUGAAAAGGGUGCGAAAAUUUGCGAUUGUAGAAUCCUUAAUGCAAAAUUGCGGAGCGGAAGAGUGAGUGAGUGUAAAAAGUGAAGUAACCUUUCAUGCAAACCGAUAAUGUGCGAAAAGUGACAGAAAAAACGACACAGGAAGUAAGCGAGAAUCGUUAGAGCUGAGCAGGAAGUGGAAGCGACAAACGUGUGAAAGCAGGCAAUGCGCCGAUAAAAAAAGAAGAUAGAAAACGAGAAAAGAGUCGACAGCAAGUAGUAUAAAAUAGGAGUGAAAGCCGUGCGGAAAGAAGAAGAAUAGUAAGAGAAUAAAUUGAAGAUAAAGUAGAAAGUCAGUAAAAGUAAAACGAAGAUGAAGUUUGUAGAAUAUAACGGUAAAGUGGUAGCGGAAAAUGAGUAGUGAGCAGCAGAAAUAGAAAAAAAGGAGUAGGUAACUGAAAGAAGAAAGCUAUUAGGAUACCAAAAGAGCCGAAAGUUGUAGGCUGGAAAAAAUCGACGUAAGUGGACAACCAGUGGUGGGAAUAUUAAAAAAAAAUAUAUAUCUAAGUUUAAAUAAAAAAAUAUAUUUAAAUCACGAAUAACAAAAAACGCCAAAAAAAAAAUCUCAACACAAAACUUGCCAUCUUAGCUACAGUAAAAGAAGAUAGGAAAAGGAGAAGCAGUAGAAAUUGCAAUUGAAAUCGCAAUAGAAAACGCCGAAGUCAAAACGAAGUCGCAACGGAGUAACACUUGAGUCGAGCCCAGCCACAGCAGCAUUUGCCAGUAAUGAUUAAUGACGCCUACUUUGUACACACGAUGCUCCGUCAAGCGCUCCGAACGAAAGGAUUGAAUUUUUGAAAUACGGACAACAUGGAUAAACGCUCAAGUGUAGAAAGAAUUUACUUAAGCAGUUGAUAAAGACAAACAACAUUCAAACAUAUAAAUCUACGAAAACUAAAAACAAAAAAAAAGCCAUCAACGUGAAAAAAAUUCGACAAACGCAGAGAAGCAGCAAUAAAUUAUGUACGAAAGGAAAUACACGAAUCGAUGAUAGCAAAAAGAAAAGAAUUAUUACAAAACCGUUCUACGCUUGUCUUCGCUAUACACAAAAUUAAAACGCUAAUCUCUUCAACCAAACUCCAGCUUAUUCCAAAAAAAAAACAACUACUUAGAGCUAUUAAACAAAUUCAGGGAGCGCCAUAAAUUGCGUGGAUAAGAAACUGAUCUUGCUCUGGCAACACUGGCACAGGUAUCUUCCGUACGCUUCCAAAGCCGCAGAAGAAAAAGUAAUAAAAAAACACAAAAGCUGCAUAAAGCUGAUUUCGCAACCGGAAAACUCGUAGGCAAAGCUACGAAAUUUGCUGGAAGAAAUUUUUUGAUAUGCAAAGCAGUUGAUCAAAAGGAUUUUCUUGACAACACAAAUAUUUACAUAUAAAAUAAAUAUUUAUAAUUAGCAGCUGAGCCACAAUUUAGUUCAUAAAUCGACUUUUUCCCAAGCGUAUUGGGCAAAGCAAUUUAAUAAUUGAGCAAGCAAUUAAAACAUUAACUAAGAAACUGCAGACAAAGAAACAAAAAAUAAAAAUAAAAAU
Molecule: long non-coding RNA, 2058 nt
Filed under: Rhagoletis pomonella (apple maggot)
Lineage: Eukaryota; Metazoa; Arthropoda; Insecta; Diptera; Tephritidae
Description: uncharacterized LOC118744776, transcript variant X1
Source: RNAcentral